Molecule: long non-coding RNA, 2431 nt
Organism: Oncorhynchus kisutch (coho salmon)
Lineage: Eukaryota; Metazoa; Chordata; Actinopteri; Salmoniformes; Salmonidae
Source: Ensembl
AGCUACGUUGUUGAGGAAAAUGUUACUUUCUAUGCCUGUGAGAUGUGGUUGUCCCACUUAGCUAUCUCAAGAUGUAUGCACUAAUAACUGCAAGUCGCUCUGGAUAAGAGCAUCUGCUAAAUUACUAAAAUGUAAAAUGUAAAUGUAUUAAUGCUGUAAAUCUGACUACUCCUUUGGCUCUAGUGACUCCAGGGAGCUGUUGGCCACUGUGUCUGAGCUGAAGCAUGCGCACAGUAGAAUGAGUAAGCAGAACAACAGCCUGUUGAGGACUGUAUCUCAGGGUGAGGACACCAACCUGCAGCUCACAGUGGAGAUCACUGAACUUAGUGCCAAGCUGGCCAGUGCCCAGCGGUCAGCAAGGAGAACCUGGUCCCUUGUGGAGGAGCUUGAAGAUGCCAGGAGAUCCCUGAUGGAGGCACAGGAGAGAGCCAGCCAAGCCCAGGCUAGCAGCUGCAAACUGAGCAAAGAAUGUGACUGUCUGAAAGCACACAUUAAAGUGCUUGAAGACAAGGUAAAUUUGAUCUUUAUUAUUAUUUCAUAAUAAAUGUACAAAGUGUGUGAUGUCACAUACUGUAUAUUAUAUGAGCGUGACACAAUCACUUUUAUAUCUGCAGAAUGAACAACUCACACUCGAGGGGACUUGUUCUGAAGAUUGUCUCAACAAAUUGAGAAAGGUUAAUGCUGAGAUGAGGGUAAGAACUGUUGGCCAGAACAUCUCUGUCUGUCACUGAGAUAAGAGUGCAGUAAUGGAGAUCCUCUCAUUUGUUUUGCAGGAGGAACUUGAAGAAACCCUUGUCAUGCUGGCUGUAAGAGACAGGGAACUCACUAAAGUUAGUAUACCAUACCUUCACACAUAGACGGUUCAUUCUCUGUUUUACAAUGACUGCAUUGGUAGAUUUGUAUUUUUUUAUUGUUCCUUUCCAGAAAGACAUACUGAUGGAUAAGCUGAAGAACUCUCAUCUGGAGAACCACAGAAUCAUUGAGGGGCUACAGUCAGAGUUUAUGCAUUUAUCAGAGCAUUCCCAGCAAGCUCUUUUGAGGUUUGACAGGCACUGUGGCAGUCCAACAGGUUUCCAGGGAAGGAGUGGAGGGGUUCCUAACCACCGCUCUCUGCAUGCUGAGAUCCAGGACAUUCAGCAGCGUGGGGUUCUGGAGGAGAUGACUGGUACAAUAUGUGGGGUUUGGUCCUCUCACACUCAGAGGGAAGAUAUCCAAAACAUAAUUCACAGGAUCAAGUCUGCUGAGCUGGCCCACCUUCUCCACGCACACUACCCAGAGAGGGAUUCUGUUGGCGGUUGUGCUGUUGAGACCCUGGAGAGGCCAUAUCCCCACAGCCAACAGCCACAGCCGAGCAUCAAGCAGCAGCUGGUUAAUGUACUGAAGGAACUGGAGCAGCAGACGACUCUGUGGGAGGAGAGAGAGGAGAAGGUGGCGGAACAACGGAGGCUACAGGAGCAGCAGGAGCAGAGGCAGAAGCCACAGGCCAAGAGGGCAGCUGUGGUGAACUGGUGGAGAACCCUUAAGGUGGAGGGGGGUAGGACCAAGGUCAAGCCGGAAGACACUCUGACCCAGCCCAGCAAGGCCCUCACUGACACAGAUUCCAAGCUCCAACAGGCAAAGCACACCAUCACAAAGAUUAGGGAGCAGGUAUGCCACCUUGAGUCGGCUCUGAGAACUGCCCAAGAGGAUGUAGCUGAGCACAAAAACAUUCAGGACAGGGUGGGUGUUCUUCACAAAGACAAGGAGACCAACACGGUGAGAGAGGGACCUGGCUGGACUGGGGUGGAGGCAUCAAAGGAGUGUAAGGACGUGGCUGUGGCUACAGACCAUGUGGAGGACCCAGGUAGAUCAGAGAAGGUAGCAGCCCAGCUUGUGACCUCAGAGGGUCUGCUGGUGACCCUCAGGAGGAUGGAGGCCAUGGUCAGCAGUGCCCUGGAGGCAGCUGAGCUGGUCAGGGAGAGUCAGCGAAGAGUCAGCCAGGUCAAGGAGAGGAUGGAGAGUAUCACUCAGAAGAUGGAGGAAGCUCUGACCAGAGCAGCGUACACAGAAGGUCAGCUCAGUGCCCUGGAGGCCAGAGUCACAGCCAAACCUCAGUUGCCAGGUCUUAUAGGGCAGACAGCCCAGCCUGGUGUUGAAGCUAUAGGCAGAGAUAGACCCAGGAAUCCCUCUCCACCAGAGCCUAUGACCGAAAGCUACAGCAAGUCUAGAUGGCCCCUUAUAAGCGGUGCCAUUUAUUCACAAACUGGAGGAGGCAACAACAGUGGCAGAAAGGUUCCAUCCCAGUGUCAGAGACACAAACACCCCCAGUGUCCCCAUCACAAGUCUUCCUCCAGUACGAGUGUGCCCCUUCACUUACCGUCCCAACGGAUACACCCCCCCAGUCUGCCUGUUGCAGUCACGCUGCCGCUCACACUGAGGAGAAUGUAGCAGG